This is a non-coding RNA of Paramuricea clavata, 679 nucleotides long. NCBI's taxonomy places the organism in Eukaryota, Metazoa, Cnidaria, Anthozoa, Malacalcyonacea, Plexauridae. The record is from the annotation of a GenBank genome assembly.
UGAAUCCCCACCUUUCCUUGCGCGGUCAGUAAAUGUUACAUUAAAUGUUGUUAAAAUGUCAUUAUUAAAAAAGAUAAGUAAUUUGUCCUCGAUGCGUGCCUGCUGUGGCUGCACCCACGACUUAAAUUUCUUUUCAAAUCCAAACUCAUGUGUGAUAUAGUAAACAAAGUAAAUCGGGAAAAAAUUAAAGAUUGGCGACCUAUAGCCUGGCAUGAACGCGUUUCAACAAUCGCGCAAUACUUUUUGAAAUUCGUGAUUAAUACUCAUCACUACAAAACAAAGUAUGAUAAAUUUUUAAUGAUUUAGUUUAAACAGUAGGGGAUCUAGAAGUGUACUGUACUACAGCAAUUAAACAUCAACAUAAAAAUACCAUAUAUAUGUAUGCAUUAAAAUAACUGCUUAAUUGAAGCAUCGAUACUAAAUUCAGUGUUAACAAAUUAAACACAAGCAAAAACAUUAAUAGUAAAGUCUUUUUAUAAACACACUCAGGUGUCAGUUAAAGUGGCAACUUAUCUAAGUUGAGCAGUCGAUGAGUGAUGGCCGUCAUCCAGUCAUAUGUCUCCUUUGGAUCCAACAAUAAUUUCCAUUUACCGCCCGACUUUUGCGAUUAACACUUGAGGAUUAUCUAUAAUAAAACGAAAGAACAAACACUGAAACUUAUAGAACACUCAUGGCACAU